CCUACGGGGGGCUGCAGUAGGGAAUCUUCGGCAAUGGGCGAAAGCCUGACCGAGCAACGCCGCGUGAGCGAGGAAGGCCUUCGGGUCGUAAAGCUCUGUUGCCAGAGAAGAAGGACCGUAAGUUAACUGCUUACGGGGUGACGGUAUCUGAGAAGAAAGCCCCGGCUAACUACGUGCCAGCAGCCGCGGUAAUACGUAGGGGGCGAGCGUUGUCCGGAAUUAUUGGGCGUAAAGAGCGCGCAGGCGGUCUGUUAAGUCUGAUGUGAAAGGCUUAGGCUCAACCUGGGCAUGGCAUUGGAAACUGGCAGACUUGAGUGCAGGAGAGGGGAGUGGAAUUCCAUGUGUAGCGGUGAAAUGCGUAGAGAUAUGGAGGAACACCAGUGGCGAAGGCGGCUCUCUGGCCUGCAACUGACGCUGAGGCGCGAAAGCGUGGGGAGCAAACAGGAUUAGAUACCCGAGUAGUC
This 464-nucleotide ribosomal RNA is filed under the name uncultured bacterium. RNAcentral describes it as "bacterial SSU rRNA". It matches the Rfam family "Bacterial small subunit ribosomal RNA", at positions 338 to 795 of the family's 1533-position model. The record is from RNAcentral.